Molecule: long non-coding RNA, 422 nt
Organism: Bactrocera neohumeralis
Lineage: Eukaryota; Metazoa; Arthropoda; Insecta; Diptera; Tephritidae
Exons: 3
Source: RefSeq, a predicted model, not a curated record
GAAAUUUAUGUGAAAUUGUUUUUUUUCUACCUGUUUGAGUUUUUUACAAAACAUAAACUACGACAAUCGGCUAUUAUCUUUGAUUCUCUCUAUAAAAGUAUUGUCAAUAUAUUCAAAAUGGGAAACAGAAAUAAAAAAAAAAUCAUUGCGGACAAAGAAGGAGCAAAUCGAAUGCUAUUUAGCAUUCCUGAGAUGAAGUUCCACAAAAAUGAUCCCACGCGACACAAAAAGUUGGAUGAAAUGUGAAUAGAGCUUGCUCAGCAACUAAAUGCGUUGAAAGGAAAGAGUGUUUAAACCAUUGCACAGUGGUCUUAUAUGGAAUCAGCGGCCAAAAAUACUUCCACUGCAUAUAAAAAGUGAAACUUUUGCCAAAGCUUUUUAAAAUCUCCCUCUCCCGUUUCCCACUCUGCCACCCCCCGAUG